RNAcentral lists this ribosomal RNA (450 nucleotides) under uncultured bacterium. RNAcentral's name for it is "partial 16S ribosomal RNA". It matches the Rfam family "Bacterial small subunit ribosomal RNA", at positions 354 to 796 of the family's 1533-position model. The record is from RNAcentral.
GUGGGGAAUAUUGGACAAUGGGCGAAAGCCUGAUCCAGCCAUGCCGCGUGUGUGAAGAAGGUCUUCGGAUUGUAAAGCACUUUAAGUUGGGAGGAAGGGCAGUAAGUUAAUACCUUGCUGUUUUGACGUUACCGACAGAAUAAGCACCGGCUAACUUCGUGCCAGCAGCCGCGGUAAUACGAAGGGUGCAAGCGUUAAUCGGAAUUACUGGGCGUAAAGCGCGCGUAGGUGGUUUUGUAAGUUGGAGGUGAAAUCCCCGGGCUCAACCUGGGAACUGCCUCCAAAACUGCAUGACUAGAGUACGGUAGAGGGUAGUGGAAUUUCCUGUGUAGCGGUGAAAUGCGUAAAUAUAGGAAGGAACACCAGUGGCGAAGGCGACUACCUGGACUGAUACUGACACUGAGGUGCGAAAGCGUGGGGAGCAAACAGGAUUAGAUACCCCGGUAGUCC